AUGGCCAGAGAGGAUCUUCCAUUCCUUGACAGACAUUCUCCAGGAAACUGCUGUUACUGCUCAGCACAAAGAGCAGAAGUUCUAAUGCCUUUCUACAGAAGACUCAGUUUGGAUGUCAACAAAAAGCAGAUUUUCAGGCACAGAUCCUCACUUCUCGAGCCAUCAGGAUUGAAAAACAAGUCACUGGGGCCCUGCAAAGCACAAUUUUUCCUUUCCCACACACGAGCUGCUUUGUCUGGUGGUUGGAGGGAAGCAGCACCCAUGCUUCUGUGCUCUCCAGGAAGGAUGACCUGGCUGUGCUGUCAGACUUGGACCAAGUUCCAGAGAUCUUGCUUGGACUGAAGGGUUUGGCACUCCAGCCAUGUGAGCGCCAACAAAUAAGCAGAGAUGUACCCUCCAUUGCUCUCUAUUCAUACGCAAAAGUUUCCAUCCUCAAGAAAUCUCUAAUGUGUCUUCUUAAUCCUGAAAGACAGAAUAGGAUGUAUGCACACCUCUGUCACCUCAGCACUGCUGCAGAAAUCGGCACCGUGGAGGGCAAAGUGUUUUUCCAGGCUAUAGCCUGUGUGGGAAUGCUGAAAGCAGCAGCAGGAGUUAACACUGGAACAAUUUCCUCCUAAAUCAUUUGGUUGGGAUUAAUCACUUGGGAUUUCCUAAAUUGAAUGCUGGAACUGUACAAGAAGUAACAUCCUGAAGUUAUGCAGCAAGUGGUAUGGUUUGGCACCCCACACAGGCGUGACUGGGAGACGCUUGUGAAAUGGUUUAAAGGUGAGAAAGUCACGUCCAGAGCUGAGGACACAGGAGGUGGUUGUGGCACAGCCAGGCUGGAGCGGAGUAUGUGGUGAUGGCAUGUCUUCCUGCUGUGGUGGGCUGCAGUGCUGUCCCUGCUGGUCCCCUGCACCCCUCAAAGCUGACAAACCAGAUGGGUGCAAGAUUUGGAUUUGGUAGCUUGAUGGAUUUGGUGUGGCACAGGUAAAGUGAUAGAAGCAAAGCACAGUUGCGCACAUUUGCAGCGUCACAGGGGUCAGACUCCUUCUGAUCAAGUGCCAGAUCCUGCACUUUGGUCACAACAACACCAUGCAAUGCUUCAGAUUUGGGGCAGAGUGGCUGGAAAGCUAUAGAGGAAAAGGAUCUGGGGGUAUUGGUGGACAGACAACUGAACAUGAGCCAGCAGCGUGCCCAGGUGGCCAAGAAGGCCAAUGGCAUCCUGUCUUGUGUCAGAAACAGUGUAGCCAGCAGGAACAGGGAGGUGAUCCUUCCUCUGUACUCAGCAAUGGUGAGGCUGCACCUCGAGUACUGUGUUCAGUUUUGGCUCUGGACCAUGUUAAGAGAAGGCAAUGAAGCUGUGAAGGGUCUGAAGCACAAUUCUUAUGGAGAGAGGCUGAGGG
RNAcentral lists this long non-coding RNA (1385 nucleotides) under Chrysolophus pictus (golden pheasant). RNAcentral describes it as "lncRNA (ENSCPIG00010004468.1)". Lineage: Eukaryota; Metazoa; Chordata; Aves; Galliformes; Phasianidae. The record is from RNAcentral.